Molecule: transfer RNA, 70 nt
Filed under: Cordylochernes scorpioides
Lineage: Eukaryota; Metazoa; Arthropoda; Arachnida; Pseudoscorpiones; Chernetidae
Description: tRNA-Gly
Source: RNAcentral
GACUAUAUAUAUAAUGGUAGAAUGCUCGCCUGCCACGCGGGCGCCCCGGGUUCGAUUCCCGGCCGAUGCA